AGAGUUUGAUCCUGGCUCAGGAUGAACGCUAGCGACAGGCUUAACACAUGCAAGUCGAGGGGCAGCAUAAAAGUAGCAAUACUUUGGUGGCGACCGGCGCACGGGUGAGUAACGCGUAUGCAACCUACCUAUCAGAGGGGAAUAACCCGGCGAAAGUCGGACUAAUACCGCAUAAAACAGGGGCACCGCAUGGUGAUAUUUGUUAAAGAAAUUCGCUGAUAGAUGGGCAUGCGUUCCAUUAGGUAGUUGGUGAGGUAACGGCUCACCAAGCCGACGAUGGAUAGGGGAACUGAGAGGUUGGUCCCCCACACUGGUACUGAGACACGGACCAGACUCCUACGGGAGGCAGCAGUGAGGAAUAUUGGUCAAUGGGCGAGAGCCUGAACCAGCCAAGUCGCGUGAAGGAAGAAGGAUCUAUGGUUCGUAAACUUCUUUUGCAGGGGAAUAAAGUGCAGGACGUGUCCUGUUUUGUAUGUACCCUGAGAAUAAGGAUCGGCUAACUCCGUGCCAGCAGCCGCGGUAAUACGGAGGAUCCGAGCGUUAUCCGGAUUUAUUGGGUUUAAAGGGUGCGUAGGUGGUUUGAUAAGUCAGCGGUGAAAGUUUGCAGCUUAACUGUAAAAAUGCCGUUGAAACUGUCGGACUUGAGUGUAAAUGAGGUAGGCGGAAUGCGUGGUGUAGCGGUGAAAUGCAUAGAUAUCACGCAGAACUCCGAUUGCGAAGGCAGCUUACUAAGCUACAACUGACACUGAAGCACGAAAGCGUGGGGAUCAAACAGGAUUAGAUACCCUGGUAGUCG
Molecule: ribosomal RNA, 796 nt
Filed under: uncultured bacterium
Lineage: Bacteria
Description: bacterial SSU rRNA
Rfam family: Bacterial small subunit ribosomal RNA
Source: RNAcentral